RNAcentral lists this ribosomal RNA (484 nucleotides) under uncultured bacterium. RNAcentral's name for it is "partial 16S ribosomal RNA". It matches the Rfam family "Bacterial small subunit ribosomal RNA", at positions 30 to 507 of the family's 1533-position model. The record is from RNAcentral.
AUUGAACGCUAGCGGGAUGCUUUACACAUGCAAGUCGAACGGCAGCGCGGACUUCGGUCUGGCGGCGAGUGGCGAACGGGUGAGUAAUGUAUCGGAACGUGCCCAGUAGCGGGGGAUAACUACGCGAAAGCGUAGCUAAUACCGCAUACGCCCUACGGGGGAAAGCAGGGGAUCGUAAGACCUUGCACUAUUGGAGCGGCCGAUAUCGGAUUAGCUAGUUGGUGAGGUAACGGCUCACCAAGGCGACGAUCCGUAGCUGGUUUGAGAGGACGACCAGCCACACUGGGACUGAGACACGGCCCAGACUCCUACGGGAGGCAGCAGUGGGGAAUUUUGGACAAUGGGGGCAAACCUGAUCCAGCCAUCCCGCGUGUGCGAUGAAGGCCUUCGGGUUGUAAAGCACUUUUGGCAGGAAAGAAACGUCGCGGGCUAAUACCCCGUGGAACUGACGGUACCUGCAGAAUAAGCACCGGCUAACUACGUG